This is a long non-coding RNA of Sus scrofa (pig), 922 nucleotides long. RefSeq lists it as uncharacterized. NCBI's taxonomy places the organism in Eukaryota, Metazoa, Chordata, Mammalia, Artiodactyla, Suidae. The record is from RefSeq and is a predicted model, not a curated record.
GAGAUUUCUGUCAGCUUUAGGAGAGCUGGCUCUGAUGCAAUAAAACCCAUGAGACAGUUCUGCAGGAUUUUGGCAUGAUGCUAACCUACAAAGACAUUUGUCCUACAUCCUGCCUUCCUAUACCCUCCCAUCCUGGAUCUGAUCCCAGCCUUUGGAUUGAAGCUACCAAAAUGUUCAUUAUCUUAAGGGAGAUACACUCUGUUUCAAUGCAACUGUGAAGAGGAUGGCAGAUGGGAGGUGGCUGCCCUUGUGUAACCCAAGGACGUGUACUGGGCGGCAGGAGCAUCUGAUGUGACUACAGUCCCUAUAAACACAGUUUGGAAAAUUGCAAUGCAGGCCUCUGGCAAGAUCUUCAAGGACAGGAAUUAUAUAAUUUCAAGGAAAAGAGACAACACUUGGGCAAAGUUUCACAGAAGUUGUGGCUGUUCGAUGAAAUGAUGGAUAUUCACAGAAAAAGGGGGGAAUCCUAAAAAAUCCUAAAAAAAAAAAUAGGGCUAAAAAAAUAGGAAAGGAUAUAAGCAAAGACAAAACUCUGUUUUAUAUGUUCCACGAGCAAUGGUUAGACCUUUCAAAGAGGUCUAAUCAAGGAGGAAAAUGAUGUGAGAUACAACUGAAAGAAGAGAUUGAUAUCGUACCGAGUAGGGGGUUAAAUACUGAGGCGUCUGCCUUUUAUACAGUAAGUGGUUUCUGAGCUAAGGAUUGAUAGACAAAAUGAUACUUGAGGACUAGAACUCCUGUGACUGUGUAUGGGCUGAACUGUAAGAACAUCAUUUAAAGACAGUAGAUUAAAAGAAAGUCAUGGCAAUCCUCUAAGGGUGAUUUUUACAUCUUUGCUGUGUAUGGAAAAGCUAAUUAAAAAGUUAUCUAUUUCUUGGAGUUUCUGUUGUGUCUCAGUAAGUUAUGAUCCCACUAGUAUUCAUGA